This 262-nucleotide ribosomal RNA is filed under the name uncultured bacterium. Its description in RNAcentral is "partial 16S ribosomal RNA". It matches the Rfam family "Bacterial small subunit ribosomal RNA", at positions 793 to 1055 of the family's 1533-position model. The record is from RNAcentral.
GUCCACGCCGUAAACGUUGGGCACUAGGUGUGGGACCUUAUCAACGGGUUCCGUGCCGUAGCUAACGCAUUAAGUGCCCCGCCUGGGGAGUACGGCCGCAAGGCUAAAACUCAAAGGAAUUGACGGGGGCCCGCACAAGCGGCGGAGCAUGUGGCUUAAUUCGAUGCGACGCGAAGAACCUUACCUGGGCUUGACAUGUAGGGAAAAGCCGUAGAGAUACGGUGUCCUUCGGGUCCGUACACAGGUGGUGCAUGGCUGUCGU